GGCAUGUGAUGUCUUCUUCUCACGAUGGUCUUCAGAUGCCUGCUUAGGGCACUGUUGAGAAAGCCACUUGGCAUAUCUGAUGUCAGAAG
Small nucleolar RNA from Suncus etruscus (white-toothed pygmy shrew), 89 nucleotides. RefSeq annotates it as small nucleolar RNA SNORD35. The transcript has a single exon. The record is from RefSeq and is a predicted model, not a curated record. NCBI's taxonomy places the organism in Eukaryota, Metazoa, Chordata, Mammalia, Eulipotyphla, Soricidae.